Long non-coding RNA from Apis mellifera (honey bee), 688 nucleotides. RefSeq lists it as uncharacterized. The transcript has 4 exons. The record is from RefSeq and is a predicted model, not a curated record. NCBI's taxonomy places the organism in Eukaryota, Metazoa, Arthropoda, Insecta, Hymenoptera, Apidae.
UUUGUCUACUCUGUGGUAACCCGGAAGACACUCGCACGUGUAAGAGCCAUUCACGUUCACACAUUUUGUGUUUGCGUUACAAUGGUGCCCCUCGGAGCCACCUUGCUGUUUGCAUUCAUCUAUGUCUGCCACGUUAACGGUCGACAGACGGAAAUAUCACGAUCGCCAUCUCAAUGGAUUUAAUUGAAUUAAAGGCUAUUAAAUAUCGACGGGAAAGGAAAACAAAAAAAAAAAAAAGAGAAGAGAAGAAAAGGCACACAAAAAGAGAGAGAGAGAGAGCAAAGUUAGAGAAGCAUUAGAUACCGUGACAGUUAUGACCGUCCCCCUGGAAACCGAUAUCGCAAUGGCAGGCGUACGUUGUCUGCAGAUUCAGGCAGGACGCAUUAGCAUGACACUUGUGGCCCUUCGCACAGUAGUCCACCCCUGGUUAAAUUGGGUUAGCCAAGGAAAGAAUGCAGAGAUGAUAUUGGUCGGCUGCCAUGCCAUUCAGGAUACGAAUAUUACAUUAUAGCAGAAAAGAGGGAAAUUUCGCCUAGGGAUUUUUUUCAAUGUUACAGGCGCGCAGGGUGUAGGCCUGCACUCGAUCUCCCCGUGUACGCAGGAACACUGUUGGCAACCCUUUUCCCAGGUCGCGCCAUCCUCGUGAACGGUGCCAUUUGCCCUGCACGACUUUUGGCACUCGCACUCC